GGGCCCGUAGUCUAGCGGUAUGGCAUAGUUUAAUGCCCCGUAAGGAUAUCGCCCUCACACGGCGGGGGAAUAGCCUUGCAAUAAGGCUAUACCGACUCCCGGGUUCAAAUCCCGGCGGGCCCA
Molecule: transfer RNA, 123 nt
Filed under: Thermoprotei archaeon
Lineage: Archaea; Thermoproteati; Thermoproteota; Thermoprotei
Also listed under: 1 other name
Description: tRNA-OTHER
Rfam family: tRNA
About the family: Transfer RNA (tRNA) molecules are approximately 80 nucleotides in length. Their secondary structure includes four short double-helical elements and three loops (D, anti-codon, and T loops).
Source: RNAcentral